This 275-nucleotide ribosomal RNA is filed under the name uncultured prokaryote. RNAcentral describes it as "partial 16S ribosomal RNA". It matches the Rfam family "Bacterial small subunit ribosomal RNA", at positions 524 to 798 of the family's 1533-position model. The record is from RNAcentral.
UACGUAGGGGGCGAGCGUUGUCCGGAAUGAUUGGGCGUAAAGGGCGCGUAGGCGGAUUUGCAAGUCAGUAGUGGAAGUCCAUUUUUCAAGGAUGGAAGUGCUACAGAAACUGAUGGGCUUGAGUGCAGGAGAGGUUAUCGGAAUUCCCGGUGUAGCGGUGAAAUGCGUAGAGAUCGGGAGGAACACCAGUGGGGAAGGCGGGUAACUGGACUGCAACUGACGCUGGGGCGCGAAAGUGCGGGGAGCAAACAGGAUUAGAUACCCUGGUAGUCCCU